UGGGGAAUAUUGGACAAUGGGCGAAAGCCUGAUCCAGCCAUGCCGCGUGUGUGAAGAAGGUCUUCGGAUUGUAAAGCACUUUAAGUUGGGAGGAAGGGCAUUAACCUAAUACGUUAGUGUUUUGACGUUACCGACAGAAUAAGCCCCGGCUAACUCUGUGCCAGCAGCCGCGGUAAUACAGAGGGUGCAAGCGUUAAUCGGAAUUACUGGGCGUAAAGCGCGCGUAGGUGGUUUGUUAAGUUGGAUGUGAAAUCCCCGGGCUCAACCUGGGAACUGCAUUCAAAACUGACUGACUAGAGUAUGGUAGAGGGUGGUGGAAUUUCCUGUGUAGCGGUGAAAUGCGUAGAUAUAGGAAGGAACACCAGUGGCGAAGGCGACCACCUGGACUAAUACUGACACUGAGGUGCGAAAGCGUGGGGAGCAAACA
This 427-nucleotide ribosomal RNA is filed under the name uncultured bacterium. RNAcentral's name for it is "partial 16S ribosomal RNA". It matches the Rfam family "Bacterial small subunit ribosomal RNA", at positions 355 to 774 of the family's 1533-position model. The record is from RNAcentral.